GUCCAAUUCGUCAGCCGUCAUCGGGUAAAAACGACAAAUCAAAGAAUUCAACUCUAUAUAUAACUAAUAUAGGACAAUGGUGUAGAUUAAAAAUUACACCACUCCAGACCCUUUUGUUUUCCACAUAAUUAAUAUUGCCAAUAAUUAACAAGUUCCGGGUCUAAUCCGAUACCGAUACCAAUAGUAUAUACACCUGUUAGCUAUUACCUUAUCUGUACGUUCCGCAUUUGACAGGCGCACCACCAAACGGUGUAUUUAGGAUUUUGCUAUAUACACGGGUCAUAAUCAAAGGGCUGACACUACUAAAUUCAAUCAUUGUCAAAUUGUUCCCUAUUGUAGCUUUAUUCAGCAAUCAGCAAGACUUUCUAAGAUAACUAAUAUAGGACAAUGCUGUUGAUUAAAAAAUAC
RNAcentral lists this long non-coding RNA (408 nucleotides) under Mytilus galloprovincialis (Mediterranean mussel). The record is from RNAcentral. Lineage: Eukaryota; Metazoa; Mollusca; Bivalvia; Mytilida; Mytilidae.